Molecule: transfer RNA, 81 nt
Filed under: Dreissena polymorpha
Lineage: Eukaryota; Metazoa; Mollusca; Bivalvia; Myida; Dreissenidae
Rfam family: tRNA
About the family: Transfer RNA (tRNA) molecules are approximately 80 nucleotides in length. Their secondary structure includes four short double-helical elements and three loops (D, anti-codon, and T loops).
Source: Rfam by way of RNAcentral
GUUGUCGUGGCCGAGUGGUUAAGGCGAUGGACUGCAAAUUUUUUGGGAUCUCCCGCGGAGGUUCGAAUCCUGCCGACAUCA